Molecule: long non-coding RNA, 2274 nt
Organism: Bos taurus (domestic cattle)
Lineage: Eukaryota; Metazoa; Chordata; Mammalia; Artiodactyla; Bovidae
Source: Ensembl
UGUGUAUAGAUAUAGAUAGAUAGUUUCUAACUCCUUGACUUCAGGACACCAUUAAAAAACAUAAACGUACAUACAGCACAUGUAACUGGUUUGCAGAAAUCACAGCACUCUAGGGUCAUAGCUGCCUGUAAAAAGGAGAAUGUAAUACACACAUUAAACAAGGAUAACUCACUGCUGAACAGUUUAAUUUGCCUGCCUUUCCCUCUCAGCAAUGUUUUCAGGGAACACUGACAUCGUGUUCCCUGAGAAGGUUGCUAAAGAAGGAGAAGCCAGGGUUUGUUGUCCUUGUUUAUAAACUUGGUUCUUGUCCUCCCCUCUCUUUUCAUAUCUCAUCCUUUUUUUCCCUCUUGUCCUGACGGUCUGGUGCUUCUGGCUUCUGCGAGGUCAGUAGCUCAGUGUGAGUUGAUCCCUUGCUGUCAGCCCCACAAACACCCUGAAUCUUACAGUCCCCCUGAGCCUGCCUGGAAGCUGCUGGCACCCAGUGUGGUGGGGGCUGCAAGGGAGCCUUGGGCUGGGGACCAGUAUCACCACUGCCUCCCCAGUGUGUUCCUUCUAAGUGCUGACUCCAAUCUCAUCCUCAGCUCCCUGUUCAGCUGGGUUCUGUUCAGGUUGUGGGAAGCCUUAGGGCUCUUUUCUGUUUGGCUACAGCCUGUAGAGACAGCCAAGGAACUGUCAUUUACUUGUUUGUGUUUGCAGCUUCUUUUCCAUCCAGCAUGCCAAACUGCUUUGGAACCAAAGGAAUAAGAAUAAAUGGGCGUUUUCUAAUGAAGCAGUCCUUUCUUUUCCUGUUGCUAUUUCCUGUUUCUUCUCCUGUUUCUAUGCCAAGGAGGGGCUUGGGUGUCAACCGGACAUGUGGGCAUAAACCCCCCUUUACCUGCAGUUUUCCUGUGUCUUCCCAAGUGAAUUUAGUCAAUAGGGUCUGGAGUUUUUGACUUGAACCCUGUUAGGACUCAGUACAUGCAGUUUUCAUAACUAUAGGAAGAUGCCAACAGACUCAGAGACUGUAAAGUUCCUUUUAUAAAGGAUGAGAUGGAAAUUAAAUGAGAAACUUCUAUAAAACAGGAGUGAACAUGUGUGUGUCACUUCAGUCCUGUCCAACUCUUUGCAACACCAUUGACUCUAGCCCUUCAGGCUCCUCAGUGUGGGUUUCUCUGAGGAAUGCAGGAAUACUGGCAUGGGGUGCCAUGCACGGGCUCUAGGGCAAUGGGCUUCAGUAGUUGCAGCUGGAGGGCUCGGUAGUUUCAGCUCCCAGGCUCUAGAGCACAGGUUCAGUAAUUGUGGUGCAUGGGCUUAGUUCAUCCAAGGUAUGUGUCAUCUUCCUGAAUCAGGGAUCAAACCUGUGUCUCCUGCAUUGAUAGGCGGAUUUUUUACCACUGAGGCACCAGGGAAGCCUGAGACUUUUAACUUAAAGAUUUUCUGGAGGCGCCUACCUGGAGUCAUUUAUUUACAUUUCAAGCAGCAAAGGGUGGCACCAUUGGACUUUCAGAAGAUCAAUCUAUGGGCACUACGGACCAUGCAGGACAGCGGUUCCCAACCACAUCAGCCAUGAUCUGUGCCAUGAAGGGAUUUAUCCGGUGUGUUUGAAAUUCAGUAUGAUCCACAGUUGUCUCUCAUGUCCAUGGGGGAUUGGUUCUAGGACCUGCCGUGGAUGCCAAAAUUCAAGGCUGGCCAAGACCCAGAGUCAGCCCUACAUAUCUGUGGUCACUCAUCUGUGGACCCAAUCCGCUGCUGACUGUGUAGUAUUGUAUGUACAAUCAACUCUUGAACAAAAUGAGUUUGCACUGUGCCAGUCCACUAAACACAUGGAAGUUUUUCAGUAAAUACUACAUGGUCUGCAGUUGGUUGAAUCCAUGGAUACUGAACCCUGGAUAUGGAGAGCUGACUAUGGAUGAAUAUCCAUGGUCUAUGACUGGGUCCUAGAGCCAGACUCCACCUACACUGAGGGAUGACUAUGCUUAUUAAAAAAAAAAAGAUCCAUGUAGGGGACUUCCCUGGUGGUCCAGUGGUUAAGAAUCUCCUUGCAAUGCAGAGGAUGCAUUCAGUGCCUGGUUGGGGAACUAAGAUCCCACAUACCAUGGAGUACCUAAGCCCACGCCCCACAACUAGAGUCCAUGUGCUCCAGCAAAGAGCCCACAUGCCACAGCUAAAACCUGAUGCAGCCCCAAAAUAAAGAUCCAUGUACAGUGGACCCAACCAGUUCAAACUCUUGCUCUUUAAGGAUCAAAUGUCACUGAUGUUAAAUUACUUCAAGUUAUGUUCAGUUACUUCACAGAU